Long non-coding RNA from Gadus morhua (Atlantic cod), 661 nucleotides. RefSeq lists it as uncharacterized. The transcript is spliced from 4 exons. The record is from RefSeq and is a predicted model, not a curated record. Lineage: Eukaryota; Metazoa; Chordata; Actinopteri; Gadiformes; Gadidae.
GCCAAAUCUUUGCAUGUGUCCCGUCUUCGCGUGUGGAGAUCGCCUUCAGUUUAUUUUUGUGGUUCCGAGUAGCUAAGUAACAGUAUCCAUUGCAGUGUUUUUUGGCUUAAAUGUUUUAAUUAAUUAAGCUAUUCAUGACAAUCAUAGGUCAGACUCUCCUGGUCAUUGUGCCAAGUAUGGGACCUACACCGUGAUUGAGGACCGCAUCAACAGGGUUUUGGAUCUUCAACUUGUCCAAAGCUCAGAGGUACCAAGCAGCAACUGGUGUGAGCUGGAGGGUUUGAAGCGAACCAUAGCAUUUCUCAAGGAGCAACACUUGCAAGUUUCAGCCCUUAUUACCGACAGAAAUCGCCAGGUUGCCAAGUGGGUGCGGGAGGAGUUGUGCCCUGAAGGAACAAGUCACUUCUUUGACAUCUGGCAUGUUGGUAAAAGCAUAGGAAAAGCGCUAGAUGCUGCUGCAAAGGAGAGGGGUUGUGAGGACCUUAAGCUGUGGAGGCCAUCGAUUGUCAACCACCUAUACUGGACUGCAGCUUCCACACCUAAUGGGGAUCCAAAUGUAAUGGAGGCCAAGUGGCAAAGCAUGGUGAACCAUGUUCAGGACAUCCAUGAACAUGACAGUCCUGGAUUUCCCUCCUGUGCACAUCUCCCAUUGGAGGGAGAA